UCUCUCUCUCUCUCUCUCUCUAAACUGUUCCAGUUGACUUGUUUGCCACUGUAUGAUCAACAUUUUGCUGUUGUUCUUCCUGUGUCACAGCCCUUCCAUCUGUAUUUCCAUUACAAUCUUGUCUUUGAGUCUUCCCAUCCAAUUUCUCUUUUGGAGAAGCACAUGUAACAGGAUUUGAUUUCCCUGUUCCGUCCUCCUUCUCUGGCAGUGAUGUUGUCUCCACAGGAAGGUUUAUUUCAGUUGUAGUCAAUGGUAUCUGGGGAGAUGAUGCGUUACCAGAACCUGGUGGAGGAAGGAAAACACCAGUGCCCGGGACAGGGACAGGGAAACGAUUUGGAGGAUGCCUUAGGGGAGCUGCUGGCCAUCCAGUUGAAACAGAUGGGAUAGGAACUGGAGCAGGGAAAGGCAUCGGAGCUGCAACAGGGGUAGUCACAAAGAGUGGUUGAACACCAUUUGGCGGGCGGAUUUGUGGCUGAAUGGCUGGUGCUGGCAAUACACCAGUGGUUGGAAUUGCUGGAUAAUGCUUGGGUACAGGAUGGCGAAUGUGAUUUGGUGAUCUACUUGGUGGUGGACCCCAGUGGGGAGAUGAGGCUGCAGCAAGGGAAGGUAGCCGGUGGCCAUCACUUUGUGCAAACUUUUUGGGUUGGGAUUUUGUGAAGGUAACAAGUAUGCGUUGUUUUCGGAUUGCAGGAAUUGCAUGUUUAGCAAAAUCAGUGGAUUUGCCUUGCAUCACAAGGAGGGAUCUGUUGUCAUAACCAAAGAAUGCUAUAUCAACGACUAAGAACUAAUAAGGCUAUCAGGGACUAAGAACUAUGUGCUCAAUCUCUAAAUAUACUCAAGAAGAAUAAAUGUGGAAGAGAAAUAUAUACAGUUCCAAUUCACCUUCCCAUGAUAUACAUCAUCCAAGUGUAGGUAAAUUUUAAACUAUGAAAAAAUAAUGCAAUUUUAGAAAGCUAACAACAGCAAUAAGGAACUAGAUGAACCAUUUCUACUGACAAGUAAUGCUAAGAAUGAUUACCCAGGUGCAAGAGGCAGCUUGAGAGAGCCUUUGUAAUCCCCAGGAUGGUCUGCUGAGAUUACUCUUCCAAAAGUCAGGUCACAUUCUGUCAAGAAAAGCAUAGAAAUAGGCUUGCCAAACCAUGGAGGCCACAAGUGAGGCUGUGAGUGAUCACCCUAUGGAAAGUUUCCACCAAAAGAUUAGCCUAGCUUGCAUAAUUAAUGUUUAUUCUGAAUCACUACAAAGAAUAAUAUAGUAAGCAACCUCAUUAUAUAUGUCAAUUAUGCAAGCGUCGGGCUUCAUGGUAAUUAUCUGCUUGCUUACAAAACCAUCAAUGACAUCUUGCAGCAUGGUUGGGAUGGAUUCUACUCUGCGGUCUGAAAAAUUUUUUCAAGCAUUCCAAAUUUUGAUAAAAGAGGAAAGCAUCAACAACAAAUGUUUAUUCAAUAUCAUUGGGAGAAACAAAAUUUUGCUCAUCUUAUAUUUACACAAGAAUAUAAAAUGAGUUUUAUGUAAGAUGUAACAUGCCUUUAGAACUCCCUGCAGCAUUUUCAUCUUCUGCAGGUGCAUCUGCUAUGGGAAGACCCAGCUGAAUCAUCUCUCUUCCAUGUCCUUUCAUAGGUCUCUUUGAGACCACAUAUGUCUGACCUGGUUCUCCACAAACAAUAAUUUAGCAGUGAUUUAUAUAUAAAAUAAAAGCAGAUACCUUUGACACAUAUAAAACAGAGAGGAAAGGACUCCAACAAAGCAAGAAAUGAUAACAUGAGAGAAAGAUAAGCUAUAUUUUAAUUAAAAAUAAGUUGUACAUUUCGUGACACUCCAUGCAUAUUGCACAUACAAGAAGGAUGAGCAAUUGUUGGUGAGAAUGUUAGUAGCAGCAUCAAUCUUUUCCACAGGUCAUCUCCUACAGAUAGGGCUGAGCAGAAUUCGGUUCAAACCGAAAAACCGAACCGAACCGAUUAAUUCGGUUCAAUCGGUUCGGUUUUAAAAUUUAAUCGGUUCGGUUCGGUUUAUAAUUUUGAUAAUUUCGGUUUAAUCGGUUCGGUUCGGUUAUUUUC
Molecule: unclassified non-coding RNA, 2055 nt
Filed under: Hevea brasiliensis (rubber tree)
Lineage: Eukaryota; Viridiplantae; Streptophyta; Magnoliopsida; Malpighiales; Euphorbiaceae
Source: RNAcentral